AGGGUUUGAUCAUGGCUCAGAACGAACGCUGGCGGCAGGCUUCAUACAUGCAAGUCGAACGGGUGUAGCAAUACACCAGUGGCGAACGGGUGAGUAACAGGUGGAUAAUCUGCCCCUCGGUGGGGGAUAACGGCUGGAAACGGCCGCUAAUACCGCAUACGAUUGUCGGGUCCUUGGACUUGGCAAGGAAAGGCGCUGAAAGGCGUCGCCGGAGGAUGAGUCCGCCCCCCAUUAGCUAGUUGGCGGGAUAAUAGCCCACCAAGGCAACGAUGGGUAGCCGAGCUGAGAGGUUGAUCGGCCACACUGGGACUGAGACACGGCCCAGACACCUACGGGUGGCAGCAGUAGGGAAUCUUGGACAAUGGGCGAAAGCCUGAUCCAGCCAUGCCGCGUGAGUGAUGAAGGUCUUCGGACUGUAAAACUCUUUUCUGAGGGAAGAACAGGCGGGGUAGGAAAUGACCCCGUUUUGACGGUACCUCAGGAAUAAGCAACGGCUAACUCCGUGCCAGCAGCCGCGGUAAUACGGAGGUUGCAAGCGUUGUUCGGAAUGACUGGGCGUAAAGGGAGCGCAGCCGGCUCGAUUAGUCUGGAGUGAAAGCCCGGGGCUCAACCCCGGAGGGUCUUCGGAUACUGUCGAGCUCGAGUACGGAAGAGGAGAGUGGAAUUCCAGGUGUAGCGGUGAAAUGCGUAGAUAUCUGGAGGAACACCGGUGGCGAAAGCGGCUCUCUGGUCCGAUACUGACGGUCAGGCUCGAAAGCGUGGGGAGCAAACGGGAUUAGAUACCCCGGUAGUCCACGCCGUAAAC
This 805-nucleotide ribosomal RNA is filed under the name uncultured Fusobacteriota bacterium. RNAcentral describes it as "bacterial SSU rRNA". It matches the Rfam family "Bacterial small subunit ribosomal RNA", at positions 8 to 807 of the family's 1533-position model. The record is from RNAcentral. Lineage: Bacteria; Fusobacteriati; Fusobacteriota.